Molecule: non-coding RNA, 2044 nt
Organism: Sapajus apella (tufted capuchin)
Lineage: Eukaryota; Metazoa; Chordata; Mammalia; Primates; Cebidae
Source: the annotation of a RefSeq genome assembly
ACUCCAAGGGGAAGAUCAUCUUCUCACUCUAUCCCCCCUUCCAGCUCCCCAUCCAUUCCCCUGAGAGCCAGUUCCACACUCAGUAAAACCUCACACUCAUCCUUCAAGACCGUGUGUGACCCAAUUCUUCCAGGAUGCUGACCAAGAGCUCAGGAUACAGAAAGCUGUCACAGUGGCCCACCGCCCUUGCGAAAAAGCAGAGGGUCCACUGAGCUAGUUAACACGUGAGCCAUGCACAGAUGGCAGGGCUAUCAGCCCACUUGGGCUCCUGCACCUGUCCAUCUGCGUGCUCCCUCUCCCCUCAAGAGUUUGAGCAGCUGCAACAAUCAAAGAAGUGAGUGACACUCCUGUGUCACUUCGAGGGCGGUCAGGGAACUCUCCUGCUUCCCCAGGACAAGUGCAGAUCUGAAGCAGCAAAGAGCCAGUUGCUUAUUACAUCAGAAAAGUUUUCACGCUAUCACUAUAACUGUUCUGUACUUGCAAUCUGCUGCAUUAAAUAUUAAGCUCUUUCCUCCUAAAGUCAGGAAUAAUAUACGUUAGGAUAAAAUCAAUUUUUUAAUGAACCAUUGUAUUUUCAGCUAAUUCAAAAAGGAAUGAAGGUGUUGAGUACUUCUUUGAAACACAUACCCCCAUACUAACACCUUUCUACAACAAAUUAGUAUUUUUAAAAAGCUCUGUGCCCAGAACACAUUGACCAGAAAAGCAGGAGUCACUAAAAAAUUUGAGCAAUUUGAAACAAAGUUAGGAAUUCUGUCCUCCUUAAAACAAACAAAAAAGUCUCAAACUUUACAGAGAAUGUAUUCAAACUGUACAGUUUACCAAGAACUUAGUUAGAAUAAAUGAUUAAAUGCAGAAAAAAGGAGAAGAACUAUAACAUCCUAUCAUUCAAAUGAGACUACACUCUCUUCAUUCGAAAUUCAAUUUGGUUUUGAAUUUUCUCCAGUAUGUUUUUGUCAGGAGGAUGAUCUCUCCUUGAACAACUGAAAUAGGUAUGCCCUGAGAAGGGGAGACGAACAACUCUCUGUUGGUUGUCAGUAAAGCACCAGAAAGAGAAGAGAAGCAAGUAGAAGAGUUUCAGCAUCUGCUGAGAACAUACAAGACAUAAGACAAAGUUGCAUCUUUCUUUAAGGCCAGUACCUUGGGAGGGACAAUGACAUCACUUCCUGAAUCCUCCCAGUUUUCUAUUUCCUGCCCUGCUUCCAUCAACAUCCAGAGCUGGAAACACCUCCAUCCUGCCUCUCCCUGCCAUGGCCUUCCUGCUCCUCUUCUGUGUGGCCUUUUGUCUCCUGGGAACAGGGUCCAUGGAUGCUGGUGUUACCCAGACCCCAAGGAAUAGGAUCGCAAAGACAGGAAAGAAGAUUAUGCUGGAAUGUUCUCAGACUAGGAAUGAUAAUGAAAUGUACUGGUAUCGACAAGACCCAGGACAGGGGCUACGGUUGAUCUACUACUCCCUUGGUAUUGAAGAUAUAAACAAAGGAGAGAUCUCUGAUGAAUACAGUGUCUCUCGACAGGAACAGUCUAAAUUCCCCCUGUCCCUAGAGUCUGCCAUGCCCAAACACACAGCUCUUUACUUCUGUGCCACCAGUUAUUAGCACAGUGCUUCUUGGCCACCUGCUCUCUACACAGAAAGACAGACACAUGGGUGACUUGUUUGCUCCAAAGGGCACCUGGAUGUGGGUUGUGGGAUGUGGGGUGUUUAGAGUUUUCAGUGGGUUUAGGCAGUGUGAGACUCGGUCUGAGCUAAGGACCAAUUUGUAUCAAUGUUCUCAAGCCAUGUGAUGACUACAAAUCAACAGGCUACACUAAAUCAAUCUACCCUGCCUAUUUAUUUUUCCUAGUGAGCUAGCCCAAUAGUGAUCUUUCAAGAGAAUGUACUUGAGCAUUUGACAGUAGCUCAUGAUUUUCAAUAAGAGCAUUUCUUAUGAGCUCAAGUCCUUCAAGGGGGCAUCAGGGAACUCUCCUGCUUCAGCAGGACAAGCGCAGAUCUGAAGCAGCAAAGAGCCAGUUGUUUAUUACAUCAGACACGGUUUCACGCUAUCACUAU